UACGUAGGGCGCAAGCGUUGUCCGGAAUUAUUGGGCGUAAAGAGCUCGUAGGCGGUUUGUCGCGUCUGCUGUGAAAUCCCGAGGCUCAACCUCGGGCCUGCAGUGGGUACGGGCAGACUAGAGUGUGGUAGGGGAGACUGGAAUUCCUGGUGUAGCGGUGGAAUGCGCAGAUAUCAGGAGGAACACCAAUGGCGAAGGCAGGUCUCUGGGCCACAACUGACGCUGAGGAGCGAAAGCUAGGGGAGCAAACAGG
RNAcentral lists this ribosomal RNA (253 nucleotides) under uncultured bacterium. RNAcentral describes it as "partial 16S ribosomal RNA". It matches the Rfam family "Bacterial small subunit ribosomal RNA", at positions 524 to 776 of the family's 1533-position model. The record is from RNAcentral.